Molecule: long non-coding RNA, 1671 nt
Organism: Sycon ciliatum
Lineage: Eukaryota; Metazoa; Porifera; Calcarea; Leucosolenida; Sycettidae
Exons: 3
Source: RefSeq, a predicted model, not a curated record
GUUCUUUGUUUGUGUCCAGUCUUCAUACAAGGAAAGAAGUUGUGAUGUCAUCUUCAUACAAGGAUAGAAGGUGUGAUGUCAUCUUCAUACAAGGAUAGAGAAGGUGUGAUGUCAUCUUCAUACAAGGAUAGAGAAGGAGUGAUGUCAUCUUCAUACAAGGAUAAAAGGUGUGAUGUUAUCUUCAUACAAGGAAAGAAGGUCUGAUGUCAUCUUCAUGCACUCUAUGCCCGAGUCUGGUACUUCGGGAUAUGUGCAGAUGUGUACCUGGUGCGGGAAGAACCUAUGAUCAAUGUGCUGGACUACCGCAGCAAACCAGCGAAGGUGUUUCCGCAGCGUCUGCAAAAUGAAUAUCCAACCGCCAUUUCAAUCUCCUUGCUGAUAUGAAGCUCAUAUAUUGGUGCCUCAGCUGUGUACGAAAGAAUGAAGCGAACACGAGCAUGAUAGCAAUAUCGUGAAGUACAGGAGCAAGUAACUGGUUACGUGCAUUUCCACACAAGAACUGGUUGGAGCCACAUCAGUUGGGGAGUGCAGUCACAGCGCACGUGUGAGCAGAGAUGACAACUCCGGAGCAAAGGACGGACCAGUCCCCACACCAGUGGCUCGGACCACGCUAGAUCGGAUUAGAUGGACUGCAGCUGGUGUUCUGACCCGGCAUGGCGAUACUGAUAUCACAUGGUCAUUUCAAGAUGUGCAUGAUACCGUCAACUAGUAAACUGGAGAGUACACGUAUGGAUUUCCCUGGCAGGAGCUAUGUGUGCAUCACUUUAUCCCUGUUGUUGUCUGAACUCCUGUCGCAAAUGGACAGCGAGCAACUGCGUCCUGCAUAGCAUCACUGGUGUUCAAGAGAAGGUACCCUCACUGCUUUAUGUCUCACAAGAUGCUCAUUGACCAAUGCUUUCUCAACAUGAAAAGCGGUAAGACAGAAAGGUGCAUUGCAGAAUUCAAUGGAGUGUAUUUGGUCUGUCACGAGGGAAAUAUUCAGAGUAGCUGGGAUUUGGAUAGAGAGUAACAAUUUCUGCAGGAAUAGUGCUCAGUGUGCUAAGCACAGUGCCGAGUAACACAGCACCAGGAGGUGCCAUUACGGACAGCACCUGCUUCUCUGUGCUCAUCUUCAGCUGCGUGAAGUUUGCAAUAGGCAUGAAAUUCUGAUCAUCAGCCUAAUGACCGUUGGGCUUCGUGCUGCACGCAUAACUUAUCCAGGACGAUUUUUUUGCGGCAUACACCACACCAUUACAAAACCCAGCUUCAUUUUGCGGGUAUCAUCUCUGCUUGUUUAUCACGUUUAGCUACGAGAGAGGGUUUUACGUCAACACAUUACUAAAUGUUUUCCUCACAUUGUCAGUACAUUAUGUUAUUAGCUCUGUGAGUGUAUGCGUAUGGGUCGGUGCCAGAACAACAGAAACUUCAUGUAAUUAUGUGCUCAAGUCGUAAUCGUACACGACAAUAGUGCUUGGCUGUGGCCCCACGCUUUUCCCAUCUGCAUCCCUAGAGCAAGGGCGUAUUGCCACGAUCAUACUCCAAUUUUUUUAAAUUUUAUAUUUACACCUAUGUGUGUGUGCGUCUGCAAUUUGUAUUAUUUCAUUACUAGUUCUAGUUCAUUCUCUUCUGCCAAUAUUUUCAUUGUUGAGUGUUCCUGAGAGGAGAAAAAAUGAUGUACGCAUGUCUGGGUAA